RNAcentral lists this ribosomal RNA (534 nucleotides) under uncultured bacterium. RNAcentral describes it as "bacterial SSU rRNA". It matches the Rfam family "Bacterial small subunit ribosomal RNA", at positions 1 to 583 of the family's 1533-position model. The record is from RNAcentral.
AAGGGUUUGAUCCUGGCUCAGGAUGAAUGCUGGCGGCGUGCCUUAAGCAUGCAAGUCAAGGGGUCCCGAUUUAUCGGGAUACCGGCAGACGGGUGAGUAACGCGUAGGAAUCUACCCCUAGGAGGGACAUAGCCAUUAGAAAUGAUGGGUAAUUUCCCAUAGUCUCGCAAGAGUAAAGGACUUAACGGUCCGCCAAGGGAGGAGCCUGCGUCCUAUCAGCUUGUUGGUGAGGUAAUAGCUCACCAAGGCUAUGACGGGUAGCUGGACUGAGAGGUCGGUCAGCCACAACUGCACUGAAACACGGGCAGNACACCUACGGGUGGCAGCAACUGGGAAUAUUGCGCAAUGGGGGAAACCCUGACGCAGCGACGCCGCGUGAAGGAAGACGGCCUAAGGGUUGUAAACUUCUUUUGCUAAGCCGUUCACAGCUUAGAGAAUAAGCUUCUACUAACUACGUGCCAGAAGUCUCGGUAAUACGUAGGAAGCAAGCAUUAUCCGGAUUCAUUGGGCGUAAAGAGUGCGUAGGCGGUAUAG